RNAcentral lists this ribosomal RNA (460 nucleotides) under uncultured bacterium. RNAcentral describes it as "SSU rRNA". It matches the Rfam family "Bacterial small subunit ribosomal RNA", at positions 26 to 524 of the family's 1533-position model. The record is from RNAcentral.
AGGAUAAACGCUGGCGGCGUGCCUAACACAUGCAAGUCGAACGUCCUACGCAAGUAGGGAGUGGCGGACGGGUGAGUAACACGUGGGCAAUCUACCUUUCGGUGAGGAAUACCGGCGAGAAAUCGCCGACAAGACCGCAUACGCUCGGGCAACCGAGCAAAGUCGCAAGACGCCGGAGGAGGAGCCUGCGCCCGAUUAGCUAGUUGGUGAGGUAAGAGCUUACCAAGGCGACGAUCGGUAGCUGGUCUGAGAGGAUGACCAGCCAGACUGGGACUGAGAACGGCCCAGACUCCUACGGGAGGCAGCAGUAGGGAAUUUUCCACAAUGGGCGAAAGCCUGAUGGAGCAACGCCGCGUGCAGGAUGAAUGCCUUCGGGUUGUAAACUGCUUUUAUAUGUGACGAUUAUGACGGUAGCAUAUGAAUAAGGAUCGGCUAACUCCGUGCCAGCAGCCGCGGUAAU